ACUCCUACGGGAGGCAGCAGUGGGGACUUUUCCGCAAUGGGCGAAAGCCUGACGGAGCAACGCCGCGUGAGGGAUGAAGGCCUCUGGGCUGUAAACCUCUUUUCUCAAGGAAGAAGAUCUGACGGUACUUGAGGAAUAAGCCACGGCUAAUUCCGUGCCAGCAGCCGCGGUAAUAC
This 176-nucleotide ribosomal RNA is filed under the name uncultured bacterium. Its description in RNAcentral is "partial 16S ribosomal RNA". It matches the Rfam family "Bacterial small subunit ribosomal RNA", at positions 335 to 526 of the family's 1533-position model. The record is from RNAcentral.